This is a long non-coding RNA of Musa acuminata AAA Group (dessert banana), 2726 nucleotides long. RefSeq lists it as uncharacterized. Lineage: Eukaryota; Viridiplantae; Streptophyta; Magnoliopsida; Zingiberales; Musaceae. The record is from RefSeq and is a predicted model, not a curated record. The transcript is spliced from 4 exons.
GCUUGAAUUUGUUUUCGAUCGUCUUAUCUGUUUCCACCCCCGUAUGAGCGGCGACUAAGCUCGUCUUUCUUUGAAUUGAUCUACUUUUCAUGCAAACAAGAGUUGUGUAAUAUGUGGAGUUUGUAAAGGAAUCAUUUUCAUGUUCCUUUCCUUCUUUAGAUUUUGAUCUUAGAAGUUGGACUAGUGCAUGCCAGUGUAGCUUAAAUGGGGGAGAAGCGGAAGCAGGACGAGGCAUCUGCGGCUCCGAAGAAAGAGGAAGUCGCUCAAGAAAGGCCCAAACGCACCCUUUUUGGAUGGAAGGAUGGGGUUACAGAGAAGGAGAAAGAUUAUCGUCUUUAGGAACCGAGAGAAGGUCCUUGACACGAGCUCGCGCCGCAUCACAUAUAGAAAGGUAUCGGCACUUGAUGCUGAACGUGGUGUCCCUCGUGCCUCAUUGCAAGAAAGACAGCAAGGUGGAGUCCCAAGAGAGCGAGGGGGCUACUCUCAAUGAGUUGAUUGAGCUUAGGAACUGCUCCAGCUGCUUGUUCUUUGACGUAUGGUUCACAUUGCAUUUGGAAACUUGACUGAUUUGCUGUUUCAGCUGCUCAGCUGUUCAUCCACAAAUUGAAGGAUGAACAGCUUGGUGCUAAUGCCCUUGUUUAUGUGGUUUGAAGUGAUUGGCUCUAUAACCAAUCUAUAAUUGUAUAUCAUUCCUACUUGUCAAAUUGUAUCUACAUAUUUAAAGAGGGAAUUUUGGAUCAUAGUGGAAACUGACAGGAUUUGGGGCUCACUGUCUUUAUAUAUAUAUAUAUAUAUAUAUAUAUAUAUAUAUAUAUAUAUAAAAUAACAUUCUUACCUUAAUGGCAUUAUCAUCAUUCUUCCAUAUAGAGCCUAGUGAGAACAGUUGGUUCUGUUUCUUUAACCUACUUUGUGCACAUAUUUCUUGUUUAAUUAUUAUACGUGUUCCAUUAGGACCGAAAUAUAUUGUGGAUUAGAAUUGUUGUUUCUUUUAUGACACUUGCAAUAUCUUCUAUUUAGUUCUUUCAUCGUUCAUAUGUAUCAGUGCAGCAAGCAGAAAGAUCUUUAUCUUUGGAUGGUGAAGUGUCCAAGUGGGCCUUCUGUGAAGUUCUUGGUUAAUGCUGGUAAACAUACUCUGAUCUCUUAUAAUCCUUACUGAGCAAAUCGCUUAUCACCUCUGUACAUCUGAUUUGAUUCUAUGAUAUAUGAUUAGUUUGCUAUGGACUUCUAAAAACUUGUUGUUUCCUUCUAAAGUUUAUACAAUGGAGGAGCUGAAGCUUACUGGCAAUCAUUUGAAAAGAUCACACCCAAUUUUGACAUUUUCCUCAAAUUUUGACAAAGUACCUUGCAUUUUUUUUAGUAGUCAACUCUUGGCUUGUUGCUUUGUUGUCUUUACAUGGUGUUGGAUUUAUAAAGAAGUGACAUAAAUGACACUUGGAAAUGAUGGUAGCAAAUAUUUCUUGUAGUCAUAUAGCUUUUACAAAGAAUUUUAUGCAUGCAUGAAUGUUAAGUUUUAUGUGUUUAUUUUGGAACUUCUAUCAUUUUGAACAUUUACUCAUCUGUAUAUAAUACAAAGCUUAUACAGCUCAUUGAUAUAGUGUAGCAAAUUGAUACUGCUUGAGGUGUGUUUUUGUUCCUGUUUCAGACUAUACAUACGGUAUUUUGCCUUUUCUCUGUCGAGCUACUGUGAAGCUCUGUAGCUCUUAGACUGGGUCUCGUGCUACAUGCAGCUGAUCUUUCUUUCAUUGUCUUGAUGAUAGUGUUAAAAUUUUAAAGUUAUUAUGAAGUUUUAUAAUAAUCGGUUUGAGGCAUUUCUCUGUGAAAUCAUGAUUGUUCAGUACUUCGAGCACAUCAAAGGAUGGUGGAUCUCCACUAUGAGUUUGCUAUUACAUUGUAAUAAUUAGAUGGUUUUUAGCAGGCAAGAAGUGUCACUAGCAUGGUACAUAGUGUGUCAAAUCAUUUCGAAAUAUGGUUGAGUAGACGUAACCAAAGAUAUGAAUUAGAAUCCUCAUAUCAUAAUCUGGUAGGUUGAUUAGUCUUCUGAUAAAAAGAUCUUUCACCUUCACUGUAAUGAAGGCUAUAGCACAGUGUACAAGAGUAGGUUGCAGUCUUUUUCCUUCUGCUUGUUAUAACCUUUCUUCAAGGCAUUUACAUUUUAUUACUGGUAGUGAUUUUGUUGCCGAUAUCAUUCAUGGUCUCUUAAGGUUAGUUUGUGCUUGUUGCUAAAUUGAGUCUCUAGUUUUUGUUAUCCGGAGAAUUUUAUAAGCAUAAAUGCUUUCUUCAUUUGCAGAUAUUCAGUAUCCCAAAGGACCACUGGAAAGUAAAACCUUUCCAUGACCAUGUCUUUGUCUUUCCAAUUGUCGAUGAUCACAUUCGGUUUCGCAAUUACCAGAUUUCUGUACCUUGCAAUGAGAUAGACAAAGUCGGUCGAUCGAUUGAGGAGCUCUAGACAAAAUGACACUUGUGGAGAUCUGUGCCCUAGAGAAGAAGAAGAAGACAGCCGGAAAGUACACGAAGAAGGUCAAGGCAAAGAUGAGGAGGAAGAUGCAUGAACCCUUGAAUCCUUUAGAGCCCAAUGAGUUUGCAGAUUUAUGGAAUGAUUGAUUAAUGCACUUGGGAAUGUCUCUGGUGCAUGUGAAAUCCAAAUCCUGGACUGUUUCUAUGAUACAGUAACUUACACAAGACAUUCUCUAUUUAUCAAUUAUUAAUUGUUUGUCUAUUUUUUGUAU